This 468-nucleotide ribosomal RNA is filed under the name uncultured bacterium. Its description in RNAcentral is "partial 16S ribosomal RNA". It matches the Rfam family "Bacterial small subunit ribosomal RNA", at positions 28 to 507 of the family's 1533-position model. The record is from RNAcentral.
GAUGAACGCUGGCGGCGUGCUUAACACAUGCAAGUCGAACGGAAAGGCCCAAGCUUGCUUGGGUGCUCGAGUGGCGAACGGGUGAGUAACACGUGGGUGAUCUGCCCUGCACUUCGGGAUAAGCCUGGGAAACUGGGUCUAAUACCGGAUAGGACGAUGGUUUGGAUGCCAUUGGGGAAAGUGUUUUCGGUGUGGGAUGAGCGCGCGGCCUAUCAGCUUGUUGGUGGGGUGGUGGCCUACCAAGGCGUCGACGGGUGGCCGGCCUGAGAGGGUGUACGGCCGCAAUGGGGCUGCGAUGCGGCCCAGACUCCUACGGGGGGCAGCAGUAGGGAAUAUUGCACCAUGGGGGCAAGCCGGAUGCAGCGACGCCGCGUGGGGGGUGACGGCCUUCGGGUUGUAAACUCCUUUCGCUAGGGGCGAAGCGGUUUUGUGACGGUUCCUGGGGAAGAAGAACCGGCUAACUACGUG